AGUUUCAGUUAGGGAAGAUGAAAAAGUUCUGGAGAUGGAUGGUGGUGAUGGAUGUACAACAAUGUGAAUGUCUUUAAUGCUGCUGAACUCUACACCUAAAAAUGGUUAAAAUGAGUCCCCACAGCCACCCUCCAUUGCAGAGAAUUGCCCCACACAUCUGCUGCGCACCCACGCCCUGGAGAUAGAGUUAUAAUUCCCAUCUCACAGAUGAAGGAACUAAGGCAAAGAGAGGCAAACUAAACGUGUGUGCACCAGUUGGGCAAAACUUCCAACCCAAAUGGGGACAGCAAGGUCCCCAUCUACUCCCCACAUCAAACGGCAAUGCUUGCAAGAGUCCCCAAGAAGUGGGUGCUUAGAGGGAAAGAUGCCAUUCCUUUCUGGAUCUUUGGGAAACCAGCUGAAAUGCGCCUGGCUCUGGAACAUUCAUCCAAAGUCUCUGGGACCAGGCUUCACUCCCCCAACCCAAGGAAAGGCAGGAAACUCCCUCAUGGAAACCACUCUUCCUCCUACCUUAACCGACUCGGGACUCGUGACGAUGACUGAGGUUUUGUGGAAGACGUUAACCCGCACAACAGGUCCAUACUUCUUAGCCCUGGAAACCAAAGUGACCCGAAGGAAACUGUCAACCACCUGAGGUAUGACCAUCACCAACCCCGCCCAGCAGAGAAACCGAUGUGUCCCGUCCCAGAAGGUGCUCAAUGCAUGCUACCAAAAGAGUGCUGUGCUGGGGCCCAGGAGCCCUGGGGGCAAGGCUCUGCCCUGUUGCUCACUUGCCGAGUCAUGUCCCCCAGCAGGCCUCAGUUUCCACAGCCAUGGAAUAGGGUUGGAAACACUCCUUCUUUGAUUGUCCCAAAACGUUGUCCUGGGAAUCAAAUGAUUUGCAUCUUUGAAAGUACUUUGAAAAAUGUAAAAAAGUGUCACACCAAACAAUGACUGUUACCUAGUCACACCCCCCCACCCAGUUUACAGAUGAGGAAACUGAGGCUCAGAGAGCUUCUGACGGCUGGUCUAAGGUCCUGCAGUGGGUGAAUGGCAGAGCAUGGCUUCCAAGCCAGCCUCACCCGCCUCCACUCAGGGGAGGAACUGCUGGGGCUGGUAGUAACCUGGGCUACGGGAAGGUGAGGCUGGGAGUCUGUGUGCUGGAUUGGGUUGGGGGAGCUGCCCCAAGGGAACCUGGAGUAGGGGCAACGAGUGACAAAUGAGAACCCACCAAUCCAAAAACACAUCUUGGAGCACACGGCCACCAACCUCAUCCUUUUUCCAAAAGCAGGGGAGGUGUCCUAGAAGGAAACUAGAAGAAACAGGAAACAUUAGGCUUACCAGCAGUCAACAGGAAAGAACGCUCCCUUCCCCACAAGAUCUUAUUAUUAGGCCCACUUCACAGACAGGAGGACCGAGGCAUGGGGAGGUUACAGCACUGGCUCAGGGACACCAGGCAGUAAGAAUGAAGACAGGAUGCAAACCCGGGUCUGACCAGCUCCAAAGACCCCCUUGGAGAAGAAACAGUUUUUUUUUUCCUGUCUCCCUGGCACAGAAGUUGGGGGCUGGCAGAUAGAAAGGACUCAAUAAUAUUGUGUGGGAUCACCCUCAGAUAUUCCCCAAUACUGACCACGCUGGGCACCACGCUAGGCUUCACCCCUCCAACCUCCCCACAUGGCUGAUCAGUCUGUUAUUAACCAUAUUAUAUAGGACAGCCGAGAUGAAAGGGUGAAGUCAUUUGCCCACAAUUGCACAACUGGUACCAGGGCUCCCCAAAGCCCAUCUCAGCAAGGGAUGGUUUGGUCAUAUAAAUCUGCUGUGUUCACCAAAUUGU
This is a long non-coding RNA of Pan troglodytes (chimpanzee), 1813 nucleotides long. RefSeq lists it as uncharacterized. The transcript has 3 exons. Lineage: Eukaryota; Metazoa; Chordata; Mammalia; Primates; Hominidae. The record is from RefSeq and is a predicted model, not a curated record.